GCCGCAGGCAACGACCCGAAGGGCGAAGCGCACUGCGCUGAGUAAUCCUUCCCCCACCACCA
Molecule: small RNA, 62 nt
Filed under: Citrobacter portucalensis
Lineage: Bacteria; Pseudomonadati; Pseudomonadota; Gammaproteobacteria; Enterobacterales; Enterobacteriaceae
Description: partial RtT sRNA
Rfam family: RtT RNA
About the family: This family represents a bacterial cis-regulatory element known as RtT RNA.
Source: RNAcentral